RNAcentral lists this long non-coding RNA (843 nucleotides) under Brachypodium distachyon (stiff brome). RNAcentral's name for it is "long non-coding RNA (BDIS_LNC000960)". Lineage: Eukaryota; Viridiplantae; Streptophyta; Magnoliopsida; Poales; Poaceae. The record is from RNAcentral.
GCUGGCCUGCUUGCGGUCCUCCAAGAGUACUGUGGCUCUGUGAGAGAUAGCUAGCUUGUAAAAGUAACGAAAAGUAACUUAGCUAUGAACGACGUCACGGAGAGAGGUGAAUUUGGUAGCGCGUGGUCUCGCGUGACUAGCUACAGCGAAUCACAAAGGCUGUACAGCAUGAUGAUCUGCACGGGUGUAUUUUCGACCUAGAAAAAUACGGCACAUGGGCCCAACUUGAAAAAAUGGCUAAAAGUCUAACAUGGGAUACCAAUUAGGCCUGGUCACAUAAUCCAGAGGGAUUGGUGGGGAUUGAGAGGGAUAAAUUGAGCGGUAAUGAACUCCAAAUCCUUCCCAUCCCUGCCAUUCCCCCCUGAUCAGAUCAGGACACGGGUGAGUGAAAGGAACGAUGCCUGAGUAAUAGCAGGAGGGAAAACACGUGAGUAAUUUCGCGAUUCAAUUCUAAUGGAUAAAAAAUAUGUAAACAUGGGACCCAAUUAGUGAGUAGGAGGGAAAGCACGUUGGAUCGAAUUGGUGAGAAAUUCUGCCGGUUCAAUUCUAUAGGCUAAAAAAAUAUAAAAAAAUGGCAUAACAAUUAGUGAGUACUAAAUGAUUCUCCGGGCGUUGCCGCGGAAAAAUUUAUACGAUAAAUAUAUGGUUAAAUAGUGAAAGCCAGAAGAGAAAAUGAUAAUGAAAGAAAAUAAAAAGAUAUCUCAGCAAUCAUAGAUGAUGUAGGAUGCUCGCAAAAUGUUGCACCAAUGAAGGAAAAAGUUACUAAUCAAGCUUAAAUAUUUCGAUGACUUUAUCCAUCCCCGGGAGGAAAAAAAUCUGAUUCAAAAUCCACGAGCGUGUCCU